UUCUCAAUUUAUCUGGGACGAGACGAC
RNAcentral lists this small RNA (27 nucleotides) under Bombyx mori (domestic silkworm). RNAcentral's name for it is "ovarian small RNA-37492". The record is from RNAcentral. Lineage: Eukaryota; Metazoa; Arthropoda; Insecta; Lepidoptera; Bombycidae.